AGCGAACGCUGGCGGCAGGCCUAAUACAUGCAAGUCGAGCGGCCCUUCGGGGCAGCGGCGGACGGGUGAGUAACGCGUGGGAACGUGCCCUUUGGUUCGGAACAACACAGGGAAACUUGUGCUAAUACCGAAUGUGCCCUUCGGGGGGAAAGAUUUAUCGCCAUUGGAGCGGCCCGCGUUGGAUUAGGUAGUUGGUGGGG
Molecule: ribosomal RNA, 200 nt
Filed under: uncultured bacterium
Lineage: Bacteria
Description: partial 16S ribosomal RNA
Rfam family: Bacterial small subunit ribosomal RNA
Source: RNAcentral